This 474-nucleotide ribosomal RNA is filed under the name uncultured bacterium. RNAcentral describes it as "bacterial SSU rRNA". It matches the Rfam family "Bacterial small subunit ribosomal RNA", at positions 35 to 502 of the family's 1533-position model. The record is from RNAcentral.
UGCUGGCGGCAGGCCUAACACAUGCAAGUCGAACGGUAACAGGAAGCAGCUUGCUGUUGCUGACGAGUGGCGGACGGGUGAGUAAUGUCUGGGAAACUCCUGAUGGAGGGGGAUAACUACUGGAAACGGUAGCUAAUACCGCAUAACGUCGCAAGACCAAAGAGGGGGACCUUCGGGCCUCUUGCCAUCGGAUGUGCCCAGAUGGGAUUAGCUAGUAGGUGGGGUAACGGCUCACCUAGGCGACGAUCCCUAGCUGGUCUGAGAGGAUGACCAGCCACACUGGAACUGAGACACGGUCCAGACUCCUACGGGAGGCAGCAGUGGGGAAUAUUGCCAAUGGGCGCAAGCCUGAUGCAGCCAUCCGCGUGUAUGAAGAAGCCUUCGGGUUGUAAAGUAUCUUUCAGCGGGGAGGAAGGGUAGUAAAGUUAAUACCUUUGCUCAUUACGUUACCCGCAAAAAAGCGACCGGCUAACC